AGGACGAACGCUGGCGGCGUGCUUAACACAUGCAAGUCGAGCGGUAAGGCCUUUCGGGGUACACGAGCGGCGAACGGGUGAGUAACACGUGGGUGAUCUGCCCUGCACUCUGGGAUAAGCCUGGGAAACUGGGUCUAAUACCGGAUAUGACCUGCUCUCGCAGUGGGGGGUGGGUGGAAAGAUUUAGUCGGUGCGAGGGAUCGGGCCCGCGGCCUAUCAGCUUGGUUGGGUGGGUAAUGGCCUACCAAGGCGACGACGGGUAGCCGACCUGAGAGGGUGACCGGCCACACUGGGACUGAGACACGGCCAGACCUCCGUACGGGAGGCAGCAGGUGGGAAUAUUGACACGAAGUGGGACGAAAAGCCUAGACUGCAGCGACGCCGGCGUGAGGAUGGAACGGUCCGUUACGGGUUCUAAACCGUCGUUUACGAG
This 433-nucleotide ribosomal RNA is filed under the name uncultured soil bacterium. Its description in RNAcentral is "bacterial SSU rRNA". It matches the Rfam family "Bacterial small subunit ribosomal RNA", at positions 26 to 442 of the family's 1533-position model. The record is from RNAcentral.